CUGAGUACGGCGGAACACGUGAAAUUCCGUCGGAAUCCGGGAGGACCAUCUCCCAAGGCUAAAUACUCCCUAGUGACCGAUAGUGAACCAGUACCGUGAGGGAAAGGUGAAAAGCACCCCGGAAGGGGAGUGAAACAGUUCCUGAAACCGUGUGCCUACAAGUAGUUAGAGCCCGUUAAUGGGUGAUAGCGUGCCUUUUGUAGAAUGAACCGGCGAGUUACGAUUUGUUGCAAGGUUAAGCGGAAAAAGCGGAGCCGUAGCGAAAGCGAGUCUGAAUAGGGCGCAUAAGUAACAGGUCGUAGACCCGAAACCAGGUGAUCUACCCAUGUCCAGGAUGAAGGUAAGGUAAUACUUACUGGAGGUCCGAACCCACGCACGUUGAAAAGUGCGGGGAUGAGGUGUGGGUAGCGGAGAAAUUCCAAUCGAACUUGGAGAUAGCUGGUUCUCUCCGAAAUAGCUUUAGGGCUAGCCUCGAGGUAAAGAGUCAUGGAGGUAGAGCACUGUUUGGACUAGGGGCCCUUCUCGGGUUACCGAAUUCAGAUAAACUCCGAAUGCCAUGUACUUAUACUCGGGAGUCAGACUGCGAGUGAUAAGAUCCGUAGUCGAAAGGGAAACAGCCCAGACCACCAGUUAAGGUCCCCAAAUAUAUGUUAAGUGGAAAAGGAUGUGGGGUUGCUUAGACAACCAGGAUGUUGGCUUAGAAGCAGCCACCAUUGAAAGAGUGCGUAAUAGCUCACUGGUCGAGUGACCCCGCGCCGAAAAUGUACCGGGGCUAAACAUAUUACCGAAACUGUGGAUGAACCUCUUUAGAGGUUCGUGGUAGGAGAGCGUUCUAAGGGCGGUGAAGUCAGACCGGAAGGACUGGUGGAGCGCUUAGAAGUGAGAAUGCCGGUAUGAGUAGCGAAAGAAGGGUGAGAAUCCCUUCCACCGAAUAUCUAAGGUUUCCUGAGGAAGGCUCGUCCGCUCAGGGUUAGUCGGGACCUAAGCCGAGGCCGAUAGGCGUAGGCGAUGGACAACAGGUAGAGAUUCCUGUACCAGUGCUAAUUGUUUAACCGAUGGGGUGACACAGAAGGAUAGGGAAUCGCACGAAUGGAAAUGUGCGUCCAAGCAGUGAGUGUGAGAAGUAGGCAAAUCCGCUUCUCGCGAAGCAUGAGCUGUGAUGGGGAAGGAAAUUAAGUACGGAAGUUCCUGAUUUCACGCUGUCAAGAAAAGCCUCUAGGAAGAGUAGUACUGCCCGUACCGCAAACCGACACAGGUAGAUGAGGAGAGAAUCCUAAGGUGAGCGAGAGAACUCUCGUUAAGGAACUCGGCAAAAUGACCCCGUAACUUCGGGAGAAGGGGUGCUCUAUUAGGGUGCAAGCCCGAGAGAGCCGCAGUGAAUAGGCCCAGGCGACUGUUUAGCAAAAACACAGGUCUCUGCAAAACCGUAAGGUGACGUAUAGGGGCUGACGCCUGCCCGGUGCUGGAAGGUUAAGAGGAGUGCUUAGCUUCGGCGAAGGUACGAAUUGAAGCCCCAGUAAACGGCGGCCGUAACUAUAACGGUCCUAAGGUAGCGAAAUUCCUUGUCGGGUAAGUUCCGACCCGCACGAAAGGCGCAACGAUCUGGGCACUGUCUCAACGAGAGACUCGGUGAAAUUAUAGUACCUGUGAAGAUGCAGGUUACCCGCGACAGGACGGAAAGACCCCGUGGAGCUUUACUGCAACCUGAUAUGGAAUGUUUGUACCGCUUGUACAGGAUAGGUAGGAGCCGAAGAGACGUGUGCGCUAGCAUACGAGGAGGCAAUGGUGGGAUACUACCCUGGCUGUAUGACCAUUCUAACCCGCCACGCUUAGCGCGUGGGGAGACAGUGUCAGGUGGGCAGUUUGACUGGGGCGGUCGCCUCCUAAAGAGUAACGGAGGCGCCCAAAGGUUCCCUCAGAAUGGAUGGAAAUCAUUCGCAGAGUGUAAAGGCACAAGGGAGCUUGACUGCGAGACUGACAAGUCGAGCAGGGACGAAAGUCGGGCUUAGUGAUCCGGUGGUUCCGCAUGGAAGGGCCAUCGCUCAACGGAUAAAAGCUACCCCGGGGAUAACAGGCUUAUCUCCCCCAAGAGUCCACAUCGACGGGGAGGUUUGGCACCUCGAUGUCGGCUCGUCGCAUCCUGGGGCUGUAGUCGGUCCCAAGGGUUGGGCUGUUCGCCCAUUAAAGCGGCACGCGAGCUGGGUUCAGAACGUCGUGAGACAGUUCGGUCCCUAUCCGUCGCGGGCGCAGGAAAUUUGAGAGGAGCUGUCCUUAGUACGAGAGGACCGGGAUGGACACACCGCUGGUGUACCAGUUGUUCCGCCAGGAGCAUCGCUGGGUAGCUAUGUGUGGCAGGGAUAAACGCUGAAAGCAUCUAAGCGUGAAGCCCCCCUCAAGAUGAGAUUUCCCAUUUCUUCGGAAAGUAAGAUCCCUGAAAGAUGAUCAGGUAGAUAGGUUUGGAGUGGAAGUGUAGCGAUACAUGGAGCGGACAAAUACUAAUCGAUCGAGGACUUAAC
Molecule: ribosomal RNA, 2516 nt
Filed under: Listeria monocytogenes
Lineage: Bacteria; Bacillati; Bacillota; Bacilli; Caryophanales; Listeriaceae
Description: partial 23S ribosomal RNA
Rfam family: Bacterial large subunit ribosomal RNA
Source: RNAcentral